RNAcentral lists this ribosomal RNA (1372 nucleotides) under uncultured bacterium. RNAcentral's name for it is "bacterial SSU rRNA". It matches the Rfam family "Bacterial small subunit ribosomal RNA", at positions 28 to 1381 of the family's 1533-position model. The record is from RNAcentral.
GAUGAACGCUGGCGGCGUGCCUAAUACAUGCAAGUCGAGCGAACGGACGAGAAGCUUGCUUCUCUGAUGUUAGCGGCGGACGGGUGAGUAACACGUGGAUAACCUACCUAUAAGACUGGGAUAACUUCGGGAAACCGGAGCUAAUACCGGAUAAUAUUUUGAACCGCAUGGUUCAAAAGUGAAAGACGGUCUUGCUGUCACUUAUAGAUGGAUCCGCGCUGCAUUAGCUAGUUGGUAAGGUAACGGCUUACCAAGGCAACGAUGCAUAGCCGACCUGAGAGGGUGAUCGGCCACACUGGGACUGAGACACGGUCCAGACUCCUACGGGAGGCAGCAGUAGGGAAUCUUCCGCAAUGGGCGAAAGCCUGACGGAGCAACGCCGCGUGAGUGAUGAAGGUCUUCGGAUCGUAAAACUCUGUUAUUAGGGAAGAACAUAUGUGUAAGUAACUGUGCACAUCUUGACGGUACCUAAUCAGAAAGCCACGGCUAACUACGUACCAGCAGCCGCGGUAAUACGUAGGUGGCAAGCGUUAUCCGGAAUUAUUGGGCGUAAAGCGCGCGUAGACGGUUUUUUAAGUCUGAUGUGAAAGCCCACGGCUCAACCGUGGAGGGUCAUUGGAAACUGGAAAACUUGAGUGCAGAAGAGGAAAGUGGAAUUCCAUGUGUAGCGGUGAAAUGCGCAGAGAUAUGGAGGAACACCAGUGGCGAAGGCGACUUUCUGGUCUGUAACUGACGCUGAUGUGCGAAAGCGUGGGGAUCAAACAGGAUUAGAUACCCUGGUAGUCCACGCCGUAAACGAUGAGUGCUAAGUGUUAGGGGGUUUCCGCCCCUUAGUGCUGCAGCUAACGCAUUAAGCACUCCGCCUGGGGAGUACGACCGCAAGGUUGAAACUCAAAGGAAUUGACGGGGACCCGCACAAGCGGUGGAGCAUGUGGUUUAAUUCGAAGCAACGCGAAGAACCUUACCAAAUCUUGACAUCCUUUGACAACUCUAGAGAUAGAGCCUUCCCCUUCGGGGGACAAAGUGACAGGUGGUGCAUGGUUGUCGUCAGCUCGUGUCGUGAGAUGUUGGGUUAAGUCCCGCAACGAGCGCAACCCUUAAGCUUAGUUGCCAUCAUUAAGUUGGGCACUCUAAGUUGACUGCCGGUGACAAACCGGAGGAAGGUGGGGAUGACGUCAAAUCAUCAUGCCCCUUAUGAUUUGGGCUACACACGUGCUACAAUGGACAAUACAAAGGGCAGCGAAACCGCGAGGUCAAGCAAAUCCCAUAAAGUUGUUCUCAGUUCGGAUUGUAGUCUGCAACUCGACUACAUGAAGCUGGAAUCGCUAGUAAUCGUAGAUCAGCAUGCUACGGUGAAUACGUUCCCGGGUCU